RNAcentral lists this ribosomal RNA (491 nucleotides) under uncultured bacterium. RNAcentral's name for it is "partial 16S ribosomal RNA". It matches the Rfam family "Bacterial small subunit ribosomal RNA", at positions 29 to 507 of the family's 1533-position model. The record is from RNAcentral.
GUGAACGCUGGCGGUAGGCCUAACACAUGCAAGUCGAACGGCAGCACAGUAAGAGCUUGCUCUUACGGGUGGCGAGUGGCGGACGGGUGAGGAAUACAUCGGAAUCUACUUUUUCGUGGGGGAUAACGUAGGGAAACUUACGCUAAUACCGCAUACGACCUACGGGUGAAAGCAGGGGAUCUUCGGACCUUGCGCGAUUGAAUGAGCCGAUGUCGGAUUAGCUAGUUGGCGGGGUAAAGGCCCACCAAGGCGACGAUCCGUAGCUGGUCUGAGAGGAUGAUGAGCCACACUGGAACUGAGACACGGUCCAGACUCCUACGGGAGGCAGCAGUGGGGAAUAUUGGACAAUGGGCGCAAGCCUGAUCCAGCCAUACCGCGUGGGUGAAGAAGGCCUUCGGGUUGUAAAGCCCUUUUGUUGGGAAAGAAAAGCAGCAGGUUAAUACCCCGCUGUUCUGACGGUACCCAAAGAAUAAGCACCGGCUAACUUCGUG